AAGGGACCUAGCGUAGUUCGGAAUUACUGGGCUUAAAGAGUUCGUAGGUGGUUGAAAAAGUUGGUGGUGAAAUCCCAGAGCUUAACUCUGGAACUGCCAUCAAAACUUUUCAGCUAGAGUAUGAUAGAGGAAAGCAGAAUUUCUAGUGUAGAGGUGAAAUUCGUAGAUAUUAGAAAGAAUACCAAUUGCGAAGGCAGCUUUCUGGAUCAUUACUGACACUGAGGAACGAAAGCAUGGGUAGCGAAGAGGAUUAGAUACCCUCGUAGUCCAUGCCGUAAACGAUGUGUGUUAGACGUUGGAAAUUUAUUUUCAGUGUCGCAGGGAAACCGAUAAACACACCGCCUGGGGAGUACGACCGCAAGGUUAAAACUCAAAUGAAUUGACGGGGACCCGCACAAGUAGUGGAGCAUGUGGUUUAAUUCGAAGAUACGCGCAGAACCUUACCAACACUUGACAUGUUCGUCGCGACUCUAAGAGAUUAGAGUUUUCGGUUCGGCCGGACGAAACACAGGUGCUGCAUGGCUGUUGUCAGCUCGUGUCGUGAGAUGUUGGGUUAAGUCCCGCAACGAGCGCAACCCUCACUUUUAGUUGCCAUCAUUAAGUUGGGCACUCUGAAAGAACUGCCAGUGAUAAGCUGGAGGAAGGUGGGGAUGACGUCAAGUCCUCAUGGCCCUUAUGUGUUGGGCUACACACGUGCUACAAUGGCAUCUACAACAGGAAGCAAAACGGCAACGUUAAGCAAAUCCCGAAAAGAUGCCUCAGUUCGGAUUGCACUCUGCAACUCGAGUGCAUGAAGCUGGAAUUACUAGUAAUCGUGGAUCAGCGUGCCACGGUGAAUGCGUUCCCGGGUCUUGUACACACCGCCCGUCACACCAUGGGAGUUGGUUCUACCUUAAGGCAAGGUUUCAAACCCUUGACCACGGUAUAGUCAGCGACUGGGGUGAAGUCGUAACAAGGUAGCCGUAGGGGAACCUGCGGCUGGAUUACCUCCUUUCUAAGGAUGAGUGAAAGAGAAAAAUUUCACUCUAAAUAAUAUACAUCGGUAAUGUUGACCGUCCUCAUUUCUCUUCUUAAAGUAAUGUUUCCUUCUUGUAGGGCCGGUAGCUCUGUUGGUUAGAGCACACCCUUGAUAAGGGUGGGGUCGAAAGUUCGAGUCUUUCUCGGCCCACCAAAAACCUAAAUGGGGGAUUAGCUCAUCUGGGAGAGCGCCUGAUUUGCAUUCAGGAGGUAGCAGGUUCGAUCCCUGUAUCCUCCACCAGGAAACAUUUAGUUAUUAAAACUGUAAAUAAAAAUAAUUUAUAUCAAUAUCUAUAUCCGAACAUUAAAAGUUAUUAUUUAAUGUUCAAAAUAAAAAUUUGAUCACAACAUAGAUAAAUUUUCUGUUAAAAGAAUUUUUUUCUGUGCAUAAAUCAAGCGUUUAAGGGCGUGUAGUGGAUGCCUUGGCACUGAAAGCCGAUGAAGGACGUGAUAUACUGCGAUAAGUUUCGGGGAGCUCUAUGUAAGCUUUGAUCCGAAAAUUU
RNAcentral lists this small RNA (1520 nucleotides) under uncultured Arctic sea ice bacterium. RNAcentral describes it as "bacterial SSU rRNA". The stretch from base 1 to 994 matches the Rfam family "Bacterial small subunit ribosomal RNA", at positions 528 to 1533 of the family's 1533-position model. The record is from RNAcentral.